AGCAGUAAUUUCUCCGAGAGCACCCGGUGGUCCAGAAUCAUCAUAGGCCCAUUUUCCAUCAACAUAUUCGAGAACUAUACAAGAAACAACACAAUAUAAGAUGACAGACAAAGAGAAAGACUUGAGGUAACGAUAUACAAAGCAGAGGGAAAGAAAUACCCAUGUAAAAAUCAUCAAACUCAGGGUCAUCAAUCACCUCAAUGAGAUUAACGAUAUUAGGAUGCUCCAGGGUUUUCAUAAUCA
Molecule: small RNA, 243 nt
Filed under: Arabidopsis thaliana (thale cress)
Lineage: Eukaryota; Viridiplantae; Streptophyta; Magnoliopsida; Brassicales; Brassicaceae
Description: ATSL174040
Source: RNAcentral